This 756-nucleotide ribosomal RNA is filed under the name uncultured archaeon. RNAcentral describes it as "bacterial SSU rRNA". It matches the Rfam family "Archaeal small subunit ribosomal RNA", at positions 52 to 814 of the family's 1478-position model. The record is from RNAcentral.
UGUGAGUCAUUGCAGUAAUGCAAGGCAGACGGCUCAGUAACACGUAGUCAACCUACCCUAUAGACGGGGAUAACCUCAGGAAACUGAGGAUAAACCCCGAUAGAUCAUUAUGCCUGGAACGGCUUAUGGUCCAAAUGAUUCGUCGCUAUAGGAUGGGACUGCGGCCUAUCAGCUUGUUGGUGAGGUAAUGGCCCACCAAGACUAUUACAGGUACGGGCUCUGAGAGGAGUAGCCCGGAGAUGGGUACUGAGACACGGACCCAGGCCCUAUGGGGCGCAGCAGGCGAGAAAACUUUGCAAUGUGCGAAAGCACGACAAGGUUAAUCCGAGUGAUUCCUGCUAAAGGAAUCUUUUGUUAGUCAUAAUACCACUAACGAAUAAGGGGUGGGCAAGUUCUGGUGUCAGCCGCCGCGGUAAAACCAGCACCUCAAGUGGUCAGGAUGAUUAUUGGGCCUAAAGCAUCCGUAGCCGGCUUUGUUAGUUUUCGGUUAAAUCCAUAUGCUCAACAUAUGGGCUGCCGGGAAUACUGCAAAGCUAGGGAGUGGGAGAGGUAGACGGUACUCCGUAGGAAGGGGUAAAAUCCUUUGAUCUAUGGAUGACCACCUGUGGCGAAGGCGGUCUACCAGAACACGUCCGACGGUGAGGGAUGAAAGCUGGGGGAGCAAACCGGAUUAGAUACCCGGGUAGUCCCAGCUGUAAACUAUGCAAACUCAGUGAUGCAUUGGCUUGUGGCCAGUGCAGUGCCGCAGGGAAGCCG